AAGCUCAUGAUGACCUACUCGGAUUCCCCUUCAAGACAUAUUUGAGUGAUGCACAAACCGAGUCACUGAGGCA
This 73-nucleotide small nucleolar RNA is filed under the name Erythranthe guttata (spotted monkey flower). RNAcentral's name for it is "Mimulus guttatus (spotted monkey flower) Small nucleolar RNA snoR60". It matches the Rfam family "Small nucleolar RNA snoR60". From Rfam's summary of the family: snoR60 is a member of the C/D class of snoRNA which contain the C (UGAUGA) and D (CUGA) box motifs. Most of the members of the box C/D family function in directing site-specific 2'-O-methylation of substrate RNAs. Lineage: Eukaryota; Viridiplantae; Streptophyta; Magnoliopsida; Lamiales; Phrymaceae. The record is from Rfam by way of RNAcentral.